GCCGACAUAGCACAAUUGGCAGUGCAACUGAUUUGUAAUCAGUAGGUUGGGAGUUCAAGUCUCUCUGUCGGCACCA
This 76-nucleotide transfer RNA is filed under the name Gammaproteobacteria bacterium. RNAcentral's name for it is "tRNA-Thr". It matches the Rfam family "tRNA". Rfam says of the family: Transfer RNA (tRNA) molecules are approximately 80 nucleotides in length. Their secondary structure includes four short double-helical elements and three loops (D, anti-codon, and T loops). Further hydrogen bonds mediate the characteristic L-shaped molecular structure. tRNAs have two regions of fundamental functional importance: the anti-codon, which is responsible for specific mRNA codon recognition, and the 3' end, to which the tRNAs corresponding amino acid is attached (by aminoacyl-tRNA synthetases). tRNAs cope with the degeneracy of the genetic code in two manners: having more than one tRNA (with a specific anti-codon) for a particular amino acid; and 'wobble' base-pairing, i.e. permitting non-standard base-pairing at the 3rd anti-codon position. Lineage: Bacteria; Pseudomonadati; Pseudomonadota; Gammaproteobacteria. RNAcentral also lists the same sequence under 1 other name. The record is from RNAcentral.